Long non-coding RNA from Hibiscus syriacus, 305 nucleotides. RefSeq lists it as uncharacterized. The record is from RefSeq and is a predicted model, not a curated record. The transcript has 2 exons. Lineage: Eukaryota; Viridiplantae; Streptophyta; Magnoliopsida; Malvales; Malvaceae.
ACAAAAAUUUCUUUACUUAAUCCGAACGAUAAUAGAAAACCAGGAAACGAAAGCAGUGAGCGGCAGCUUCUCUUCCUCUGUAUCUCAAAAUGGUUCCUUUUAGGUUUCAUCAGUACCAAGUGGUGGGCAGAGGUCUCCCAACAGAAACAGAUGAGCAUCCCAAGAUUUACCGUAUGAAGCUUUGGGCCACCAACGAAGUUUAUGGGCGAUUGGGAAUCUUAGUUUUCCUUUGCUUGAUGUUUUUUUUUUCGUGUUUAGGUAUUUUCUGAGGAAGGUGAAGAAAAGUAAUGGACAAGUUUUGGCCA